Molecule: ribosomal RNA, 460 nt
Filed under: uncultured bacterium
Lineage: Bacteria
Description: partial 16S ribosomal RNA
Rfam family: Bacterial small subunit ribosomal RNA
Source: RNAcentral
CCUACGGGAGGCAGCAGUGAGGAAUAUUGGUCAAUGGACGAGAGUCUGAACCAGCCAAGUAGCGUGAAGGAUGACUGCCCUCUGGGUUGUAAACUUCUUUUAUAUGGGAAUAAAAUGUUCCACGUGUGGGAUUUUGUAUGUACCAUAUGAAUAAGGAUCGGCUAACUCCGUUCCAGCAGCCUCGGUAAUACGGAGGAUCCUAGCGUUAUCCGGAUUUAUUGGGUUUAAAUGGAGCGUAGGUGGAUUGUUAAGUCAGUUGUGAAAGGUUGCGGCUCAACCGUAAAAUUGCAGUUGAAACUGGCAGUCUUGAGUACAGUAGAGGUGGGCGGAAUUCGUGGUGUAGCGGUGAAAUGCUUAGAUAUCACGAAGAACUCCGAUUGCGAAGGCAGCUCACUGGACUGCAACUGACACUGAGGCUCGAAAGUGUGGGUAUCAAACAGGAUUAGAGACCCCAGUAGUC